This 870-nucleotide long non-coding RNA is filed under the name Chloebia gouldiae (Gouldian finch). RNAcentral's name for it is "Erythrura gouldiae (Gouldian finch) lncRNA (ENSEGOG00005002773.1)". The record is from RNAcentral. Lineage: Eukaryota; Metazoa; Chordata; Aves; Passeriformes; Passeridae.
AUGCUUUAAAUUAUCGUGAUUUAAUGGCACCUGCCUUAUUCCAGGGCGCCGGCUCUGCUCUGCUGCUGGAAGCAGGCAGAGAGGCGGGUGCGGAUGCGGGCUGACCCCGGCUUCCCAGAAAUCCCCGGCUGCUCUGCUGUGCCUCUCUAUCUCCUGACUCCUAAACGAGCUCCUGCGGCACCGGUCACCCACUGCUCCAGAGGGAGGCAUGUCUUCAAAUGCACCGACCUGUGUAAACCUCUGAGGGAACAGAAGGCUGAAGGUGGUACUGAGUCUUGACUUGAGCAGGCACAUGGCAUCAAAAGGACAGUGAACAAACUGGGACGAGUGAUGCUGUUGUUGUGGGUAAACCAAAACUUCCGUGAGGUGAAGAUGAAUAUUUUCAGUUUUCCCAGAUGUACAGUCAUUCAAAAAAGCACAAAAGAAGAGCACUGAUUUGAGAUGAACGUGUUUUUCUAUAGAGACAGAUGGGUCUUGUUACACAAUUCCCUUUCAAAUGGAGGCUCCAGUGUGAGGACAUUUUGGGACCCUAGGUCCUUUGACAGGGAAAGAGAGUUCCUGAUCAGACCAGCAGGGACUCCCUGUUGCAUUCAAAUGUUGACUGUGGAAAAGCAAAGUGAGUGAACUUUUGUUUUGCUUGACUGAGCUUUACAGUGCCAGUUAUUGUUUUGAAAAGUGAAGAGAUACCUACUACAUCUCCUGGGAAAAUCAGCAGCAGCUUGCUUUGGAAGAGACUGCUAUUAUGGUGAAGUUCUCAGCUUAGCUCUCUAUUUUUUGCUUUAUGUAUUCACGUCCGCAUGAAUUUCCCCUGCAACAUCUUUGUGAUUAAAUGACUAGAAUAAAUGGUUUCAGAGCAUCUGGGAAUAGGCA